Helianthus annuus (common sunflower) is the source of this 1301-nucleotide long non-coding RNA. RefSeq lists it as uncharacterized. NCBI's taxonomy places the organism in Eukaryota, Viridiplantae, Streptophyta, Magnoliopsida, Asterales, Asteraceae. The record is from RefSeq and is a predicted model, not a curated record. The transcript is spliced from 8 exons.
UUAAAAUUUAGUACAUGUAGUUUUUUAAUUGUAGAACCAAACAAAAGUUCUCCUAUGAAUAAGUGAGCAUUAACAGUUCAGAACUUUGGAGUGAUAAUCCACAUCCAUAUAUUGUUGUUGGAAGAUAAUUUAUAGGGUGCUAUUACAAGGUCAGCGCUAUUUUUCAGUCGUGCUUUGUUUCAUUUCAAAAUAUUUAUCAUGUGCCUUGUGUGUUGUUGAUUAAGGUACUUCCCUUUUGAACAGUGAUUUGGAUCGUGGUUUGUUCUGAUUGAUUUAUUUGGGAGGUCAUCAUCCCCUUUAAGACACGUAUCUUCCAUUUUCAUCUCAUUUUUAAACCUCAGAGGAAGAGAAAGAGAGGAAAAAAAGGGAGAGAGAAUGGCGGUGACCGGAGGAUCACACCAUCACACCAGAUUCUGGCGCGACAACGACCCAAUUGACGGAGUGUCAACUUAGGGUUUAAGAAAGGGAUAGGCUGUGUAAAAGACCAUGACGAGAGUUAGCAUUCCGACCAAGUUAGACCAGAUUCCGUGUUCCGGUGAAGGUACAGCUAGGGUUCUAGGGAGCAGUGCCGGCAAGGAGAGCCAGGUGAAGAUCCGGUAAGUAGAUUGAAGCAUGUACAGGAGUUCUUCAAGUGAAUCGUCAACUCUCUAGGCCGACUGUACAUAUUAGAAACGGUGACGAGGAGUAGGGCACCAUUGGAAUUAGGGGCUGUUUAUGUCAAAUCGGUGAUAGGUUGUGAAAUUCUGGUUACACCCGUUUGGAACGCCGACAAAGGUGUAGUGUUCAAAGUUCUGAGAUAAAGCAUGGUGAUUUGGCUUGGUGAAGAUUUGAAGUUGUUGAGGUCGUUUUCAGUAAUGGGUGAUGGGAGUCAAGAAUAGGUCUCAACUGACUUGACUCGGUCAACACAGAAACUCAGGUUUGGGUUGAAGAUAAUUGAGAAACAAGGAUUAUGGAAAUAGAUGAGGGCUUGGAUAAUGAUCAGGCCAGCAAUCCAAAUUGCAAAUGGUCAACGGGUCGAGUCCGAUACAAUUAACACGUGUAAGUUUUUCAGUUUUAGCAUUAUGGAUGUGGGUCUGAUAAAAUUAACACGAAUGAGAAAUAUAGGAAGGGAUAAUCACAAUUAGCCCAAGAAGAGGCUGACAAACAAUCGUCCAUUGACAAGGGGAAUGAUUUCCUUAGCAAUGUGAUUGUUACAAAGCUACCGCAUUACUUUGUUGCAACUCGGAGGCCAGGUUGCGUCUUGGUGACAAAUUAACUGGUGCAAGUGGGCGAGAUAUGAACCAAACACAAGUUCUCCUAUG